Long non-coding RNA from Dreissena polymorpha, 316 nucleotides. RefSeq lists it as uncharacterized. The transcript has 3 exons. The record is from RefSeq and is a predicted model, not a curated record. NCBI's taxonomy places the organism in Eukaryota, Metazoa, Mollusca, Bivalvia, Myida, Dreissenidae.
AGUGUCUUAUACUGUGUUACCAGUGCAAGGUGAGCCUAGUGUGCUCUCAAUACCUAUGGUUUAUAUAGUGUCUUAUACUGUGUUACCAGUGCAAGGUGAGCCUAGUGUGCUCUCAAUACCUAUGGUUUAUAUAGUGUCUUAUACUGUGUUACCAGUGCAAGGUGAGCCUAGUGUGCUCUCAAUACCUAUGGUUUAUAUAGUGUCUUAUACUGUGUUACCAGUGCAAGGUGAGCCUAGUGUGCUCUCAAUACCUAUGGUUUAUAUAGUGUCUUAUACUGUGUUACCAGUGCAAGGUGAGCCGAGUGUGCUCUCAAUA